RNAcentral lists this ribosomal RNA (454 nucleotides) under uncultured bacterium. RNAcentral describes it as "partial 16S ribosomal RNA". It matches the Rfam family "Bacterial small subunit ribosomal RNA", at positions 28 to 507 of the family's 1533-position model. The record is from RNAcentral.
GAUGAACGCUGACAGAAUGCUUAACACAUGCAAGUCUACUUGAACUUCGGUUUGGGUGGCGGACGGGUGAGUAACGCGUAAAGAACUUGCCUCACAGAUAGGGACAACAUUUGGAAACGAAUGCUAAUACCUGAUAUUAUGAUUUUAGGGCAUCCUAGAAUUAUGAAAGCUAUAUGCACUGUGAGAGAGCUUUGCGUCCCAUUAGCUAGUUGGAGAGGUAACGGCUCACCAAGGCGAUGAUGGGUAGCCGGCCUGAGAGGGUGAUCGGCCACAAGGGGACUGGGACACGGCCCUUACCCCGACGGGGGGCAGCAGUGGGGAAUAUUGGACAAUGGACCAAGAGUCUGAUCCAGCAAUUCUGUGUGCACGAUGAAGUUUUUCGGAAUGUAAAGUGCUUUCAGUUGGGAAGAAAAAAAUGACGGUACCAACAGAAGAAGUGACGGCUAAAUACGUG